AUCAGAUCCAUGACACGCAAGAUUUCAGUGUUGGCGGGGGUCUUCAGUUCACGAUCGGUGACUAGCUCGACUCCGAGCAUCAGGCCUCUUCCCCUCACAUCUCCAAUGACAUCAUGUUUUUCCUGAAGGGCCAUGAGCCUUUCUUUCAAGUAGGACCCCACAACCAACGCAUUUUCUUGAAGCCUUUCUUUCUCAAGCACUCGAAGUACAGCAUGCGCACCAGCAGUACAGACAGGAUUACCUCCAAAUGUAUUAAAAUAGCUUCUACGAGUCAAGACUUGGGCGAUUUCUGGAGUCG
Molecule: unclassified non-coding RNA, 298 nt
Filed under: Hevea brasiliensis (rubber tree)
Lineage: Eukaryota; Viridiplantae; Streptophyta; Magnoliopsida; Malpighiales; Euphorbiaceae
Source: RNAcentral